GCAUCAUCUCCGAUCUGCAAGAGAAGGACUUCCAGCUGCAGGCUGACAUCAUAUUGAAGAGGGCGGAAGGAUUCAAGGUUAGGCUCGAACCGAGGAAGCCCAUGGCCAAAGCUCACUAAGUGAUUCCAUUGAUAAGAACUCUGUUCAAACAAAUGUUAUAAUUUAUGUUGUAAUAUAUUUUAUAUUUAUAUGAUUGUGCAAAGGAAAAUAUGUGUAUAUAUG
RNAcentral lists this unclassified non-coding RNA (222 nucleotides) under Hevea brasiliensis (rubber tree). Lineage: Eukaryota; Viridiplantae; Streptophyta; Magnoliopsida; Malpighiales; Euphorbiaceae. The record is from RNAcentral.